AAUGUAGAGGCGUUGAAGUUAGCAACCGAAGUUUCAAAAGAUUUCUUGGUAGCAGAGUGUUUUGUAUUUCAUUGAAGAAAAGUUGACAAACUCUUUCGAGAAAACAAUAUCAAUUAUGUUAGCAUGAGUAACGAAAAUAACGUUAAAUUAGUUAUUACCAAAAACUCAAGAGUUUCGUUCAAAGGGUUUACCUGGACGUUAAAACGCUUUCUUAGGAAAAGAUAAAUAUCGUGUGUCCAAAGAGUCAGUUAUUAUUAUUUUGACUUUACUUUUAUUUAAAGAUCUGACGCCGUAAAAGUUAUCUUAGAUCGUAAGUAAAAUAUAACUAGAAACAAAUUAAUAAGAUAAUUAUCGUAUUUAAACUGACACUAGUGGGUGGGUUGAAUAUACUAAGGUAACGAAGUAAUAUAGUUGAAGGAACUCGGCAAAAUAACUCCGUAACUUAGGGAGAAGGAGGACUACAAUUAGUGUCUUAAAAGAGCGGGUAGCGACUGUUUACUAAAAACACAGGACUCUGCGAAAUUUAAUAAUUAUGUAUAGAGUCUGACGCCUGCCCAGUGCUGUAAGAUGAAAAACCAUAAGUGAGGCUUAUUAGUUCAAAUCCCGGUAAACGGCGGCUGUAACCCUGACGGUCCGAAGGUAGCGAAAUUCCUUGGCGGGUAAGUUCCGUCCUGCAUGAAUGGCGUAACGACUGCCCCACUGUCUCCAACUAUAUUUCGGUGAAAUUGAAUUUUAGGUGAAAAUGCCUAAAGAGAGUAGCGGGACGGAGAGACCCUAUGCACCUUUACUAGAACCUUGUAUUAGUUUAGCUUAUUA
RNAcentral lists this non-coding RNA (816 nucleotides) under Stylonychia lemnae. RNAcentral describes it as "Bacterial large subunit ribosomal RNA". It matches the Rfam family "Bacterial large subunit ribosomal RNA", at positions 1169 to 2132 of the family's 2925-position model. Lineage: Eukaryota; Ciliophora; Spirotrichea; Sporadotrichida; Oxytrichidae. The record is from Rfam by way of RNAcentral.